Otolemur garnettii (small-eared galago) is the source of this 107-nucleotide small nuclear RNA. The record is from Ensembl. Lineage: Eukaryota; Metazoa; Chordata; Mammalia; Primates; Galagidae.
GUGCUCGCUUUGGUAGCACAUAUACUAAAAUUGGAACAAUACAGAGAGGAUGUGCAUGGCCCCUGUACAAAGAUGACACGUAAAUUUUUUUAAGUUAAAGAGUUCAA